Molecule: ribosomal RNA, 468 nt
Filed under: uncultured bacterium
Lineage: Bacteria
Description: partial 16S ribosomal RNA
Rfam family: Bacterial small subunit ribosomal RNA
Source: RNAcentral
GACGAACGCUGGCGGUGUGCUUAACAUAUGCCAGUCGAACGGAAAGGCCCUGCUUUUGUGGGGUGCUCGAGUGGCGAACGGGUGAGUAACACGUGAGUAACCUGCCCUUGACUUUGGGAUAACUUCAGGAAACUGGGGCUAAUACCGGAUAGGAGCUCCUGCUGCAUGGUGGGGGUUGGAAAGUUUCGGCGGUUGGGGAUGGACUCGCGGCUUAUCAGCUUGUUGGUGGGGUAGUGGCUUACCAAGGCUUUGACGGGUAGCCGGCCUGAGAGGGUGACCGGCCACAUUGGGACUGAGAUACGGCCCAGACUCCUACGGGAGGCAGCAGUGGGGAAUAUUGCACAAUGGGCGGAAGCCUGAUGCAGCAACGCCGCGUGCGGGAUGACGGCCUUCGGGUUGUAAACCGCUUUCGCCUGUGACGAAGCGUGAGUGACGGUAAUGGGUAAAGAAGCACCGGCUAACUACGUG